Molecule: ribosomal RNA, 253 nt
Filed under: uncultured bacterium
Lineage: Bacteria
Description: partial 16S ribosomal RNA
Rfam family: Bacterial small subunit ribosomal RNA
Source: RNAcentral
UACGAAGGGGACUAGCGUUGUUCGGAAUCACUGGGCGUAAAGCGCACGUAGGCGGCUUUGUAAGUCAGGGGUGAAAUCCCGGGGCUCAACCUCGGAACUGCCUUUGAUACUGCGAAUCUUGAGUCCGAUAGAGGUGGGUGGAAUUCCUAGUGUAGAGGUGAAAUUCGUAGAUAUUAGGAAGAACACCGGUGGCGAAGGCGGCCCACUGGAUCGGUACUGACGCUGAGGUGCGAAAGCGUGGGGAGCAAACAGG